AUGAUUAUUGGAUCUCCGAGUAGAAAUUUUCGCUUGAGCAUAGUGAUCGCGUCCUCUAGCAUUAAAACUUGUGCAUCCUUUGAUUCAAGUCUUGAAAUCGAAAACAUGGAAGCCUGUGGUGGAAUCAAGUUCAGAGAGAGUCUCAAGAUGAAGGUUGGGAUGAUGGAGGCGUUGUGUUUCAGUGACCGUGCGAUUUAG
Vicia faba (fava bean) is the source of this 198-nucleotide non-coding RNA. The record is from the annotation of a GenBank genome assembly. Lineage: Eukaryota; Viridiplantae; Streptophyta; Magnoliopsida; Fabales; Fabaceae.